This 440-nucleotide ribosomal RNA is filed under the name uncultured bacterium. RNAcentral describes it as "partial 16S ribosomal RNA". It matches the Rfam family "Bacterial small subunit ribosomal RNA", at positions 339 to 795 of the family's 1533-position model. The record is from RNAcentral.
CUACGGGAUGCUGCAGUCGAGAAUCUUCGGCAAUGGACGAAAGUCUGACCGAGCGACGCCGCGUGCGGGAUGAAGGCCUUCGGGUUGUAAACCGCUGUCAGAGGGAAGGAAAUUUUGACCGAUCCUCAAAGGAAGUACGGGCUAAGUUCGUGCCAGCAGCCGCGGUAAGACGAACCGUACAAACGUUAUUCGGAAUCACUGGGCUUAAAGGGUGCGUAGGUGGUCUAUUAAGUUGGGUGUGAAAUCCCUCGGCUCAACCGAGGAACUGCGCUCAAUACUGGUAGACUUGAGGGAGAUAGAGGUGAGCGGAACUGAUGGUGGAGCGGUGAAAUGCGUUGAUAUCAUCGGGAACACCUGUGGCGAAAGCGGCUCACUGGAUCUCUUCUGACACUGAGGCACGAAAGCUAGGGGAGCGAACGGGAUUAGAUACCCUAGUAGUC